AAAGGCCCGCGCUUCAAAACAACGGCCUAUGUUACCAACCGGGUCUCUUUAACCCACGGAAGAUUCUCCUUCCUGAUGUAACGCCGAACCUACACGCAGACGGCUGUCGACGACGCAAGGUUCGCACUCCAGCGGCUCGUGAUCAAGCGGAGUCCAGGACUUCGUUCACGUUCGAAACCAAUAGAAGAUAAAACGUUCAUAGAAAACGAAAGACUUCUCACCGUCAUCACCGGAAAGAGACUCCCCCUACUCACACAACAACGAUGCCCAACGCUUCAUCUCGUCACUCAAGACCAACGGCGAUCGACAGUGGAUACGGUAAAUGCGAGGGAGACGCGGAGGACUCUCCUCCAGAUGUGAAAACGACUCUGACGUCUCCAUCUAUGUUCGUGUGCACCCCUACCUUCUCUGAAUCACGGUGCAUCGAAUGGAGCGACACCGAUUCACGACGUUGAACCUCUGCUUUCACCAGUUUAAACAGAAGAAUAUAAACGCCGAAUUGAAAUCUCACCAGUUUAUCAGGUUGUGGUUUGUUGAGGAUGGCAUCGGCGCUUUGCACUUUCAUUGAGGACAGACGAUGAAGGGCGAACCGUUCUUCUGGAGAAGGAUGCUAACCGAUUGGAAGAUGGAAUCACCGGUUUGGAAGCUUGAAGCUGCAGAAUGCUCUUGAGAUUGAUGAGCUUGGUAGAGAUUGUGCAGAAUUCAUUCAUCAUCUUGAUGCAAGGUGAGGAUUUGUGUAUGUACUUGCCGGUUGUCGUAGUCGGUGGAAUUUGGGAGGACUGCAACGCAUAUCAAAUACAACUCAGGGGUUUGUCAAUGCUGGUGACGCAACCACCUGUUGGUUCUGUUAAGUGUUUGGUUUUGUGUUAGCAUUUGUUUGUUGGAAGUCCAAACUUGUUGAUGCUAUUACUUGAAAUUAGAACUUUUAUUCAUUAACUUAAUUACUACUGAAAACAUUUUGGAAUACUAUUACAUCCUCUUACUGUUGUCCUCCUUUGUUGCUUGCAGAUGUCUCUACUAUAUUCGUGAGUGUGGGCGGUGUUCAAUGUGGCUCAUGGUACCAAGCUGGGAUGUUAACUUGGUGAAUACUCUUAUGCCGCCAGUUUGGAUUUUGAAGGGCGAAACAACCGACGUGCCUAGCUUGUUAACACCGCAUUGUGACCGAUGAGUGUGAAUAUCUUGCUACUAGAUAAGAGAUAUGGCAAGGGUCCAUUGUGAAAGAGAAGAACAGGGUGGAGUUUGUUUGGAGUUAAGUCAGUGUGGAGUGGUAUUGAAUUAGGAACGCUUACGUGAUGUUAGAACAUGUUAGGGAUGUUAUUAUACCGUUAGUGAACUUGUUGCUGGGUUAUCAACCAUGUUAGUGUGGCCUAUCGGUUAAAGAAAAAUGGAUAAUUGGAUGAUGAUUUAGUUAUUGAGAAUGUUAGGUGCUUCCAUGGAAUUCGAAUGGAAUUUGUUUUUGGUUGUAUUGAUUAAUUGAUUUUGGAUUAAUGGAUAUGGAUUUUGAGCA
Molecule: long non-coding RNA, 1507 nt
Organism: Lathyrus oleraceus (garden pea)
Lineage: Eukaryota; Viridiplantae; Streptophyta; Magnoliopsida; Fabales; Fabaceae
Exons: 5
Source: RefSeq, a predicted model, not a curated record